Molecule: ribosomal RNA, 382 nt
Filed under: marine Metazoa environmental sample
Lineage: Eukaryota; Metazoa
Description: SSU rRNA
Rfam family: Eukaryotic small subunit ribosomal RNA
Source: RNAcentral
AGCUCCAAAAGUGUAUAUUUAAGUUGUUGCGGUUGAAAAGCUCGUAGUUGGAUAUAGGGACGGCGAGGUUGGUCGGUCGAAAGGCUAGCACUGGCCUCGUUGUUCUUGUUGGUCGGUGCCUUCGCGGUGCUCUUAACUGAGUGUUGCGGUGGUCCGGCAAGUUUACCUUGAAAAAAUUAGAGUGUUCAAAGCAGGCUUUACGCUUGUAUAAUGUUGCAUGGAAUAAUGGAAUAGGACCUCGGUUCUAUUUUGUUGGUUUUCGGAGCACGAGGUAAUGAUUAAUAGGAACGGACGGGGGCAUCCGUACUGUGCCGUUAGAGGUGAAAUUCUUGGAUCGGCGCAAGACGAACGACUGCGAAAGCAUUUGCCAAGAAUGUUUUCU